GUGCGGAAUUUUAGAUAAUGGAGGGAACUCUGAUCUAGCGACGCCGCGUGCAGGAAGAAGGUCUUCGGAUUGUAAACUGCUGUGGUAAGGGAAAAAUGCUAUGUAGAGUGGAAAGCUACAUAGAGGGAUGGUACCUUACUAGAAAGCCCCGGCUAACUACGUG
Molecule: ribosomal RNA, 163 nt
Filed under: uncultured Kosmotoga sp.
Lineage: Bacteria; Thermotogati; Thermotogota; Thermotogae; Kosmotogales; Kosmotogaceae
Description: partial 16S ribosomal RNA
Rfam family: Bacterial small subunit ribosomal RNA
Source: RNAcentral